GAACUUUUUCAGCUUUAUGUUGAGGUUGAGUUCAUGUCUGAAGUAAUUUGUUUUGUUUAUGCUUACUGACAGAGUAAUGAUGAUGAGUUGGAGGCUACAGUCUAACUUUGUGGAGUUGGUCCAAACUCUGCUGGAAGACCCUUCUGAGAGGAGGUGUUCCCAGUACAUUAUGGCCCUCAGUAUGACACAGCACUGCAGGUACUGGUGUGGGAGUUCCUCUCCAGAUUGGAGGAGCUGCUACCUGUACCAGACUUCAGACAGGUUAUUUAUCUUACUACACUGCAGAUACCAUCCUGUUCCUCUCUCCAACAAUAAGAGUUGUCAUUGGCUCGGAGCAGGCCAGCUCUGACAAAAUGAGGUCAUGCUCAGAUGGAGAUAAAUGCUUCAAGAAUGGGACAGAGAGAGCAGGAGAUGGAGAAGAGAGAGAAGGACAAUCUAAUGGGGUCAGAGAGGAGGAAAAAGAUAUGCAGACUGAAGAGGACUGGGAAAAGGAAGACUGCAGAGAAUUCUGGUCCGUGUAUCCCAGUACCCAGCAACGGCAUGGAAAUUCAGGUUUGAAUAGUGACAUGGCAUCCCAGGUCCUUGCCUGCUCCCUCUGCACAUUCUCUCAUAUUAUGGUAAAACUCCAACAGCACAUCAGGAUUAGGCAUGGCGGUGAGGACAGGAAGCGUCUAUGCUCUAAAGAAUCUGGGACUGAAAGCACCUUUCCUCAAGCAGCACAAAACUCCCCCAGCGUAUCAGCACUAGGCACCAAAGGAAGAACUGGAAGCAUCUCAACUCUAAAGAAUCUGGGAAUGAUAAUUCCUGUCCCACACGCAGCACAAAACUACUUCAUCAGUAGUACGGACUAGGCACCAAGGGGAUGAGCGGAAGUGUCAACACUCUGAAGAAUCUGGGACGGAAAACCUUCCCUCAAGCACAAAAAUUAUCCCCUAUAGACCCGAUAACAUGACUCUAAGUUGCCCUCAUUGUGGGAAUGUUUACCAAAACCUCAACUCCCUGGAAAAACAUAAGAAUUCACACAUUUCCAUUCUGUUGUAACCAGUGUGAGAGAAGAUUCUCGACCAGAUUAGAUCUCAAAAGACAUCAGCGAGCUCACACAGGGGAAAGACCAUUGUGAUGUGUGCAUAUUCACUCAAAAUGCAUGUACACACACACACUGUGGAGAGUCCCUACUCUUGCACCAUUUGUGGGACAUCUAGCUAGACACAUGCAUUCAGGGGAGAAAAACUAUUUAUGUAGCAUCUGUGGUAAGGCAUUCCUUAGCUCAGGAGAACUAAUGCUGCAUACAUGAUCACACACACAGGAGAAUGACCCUACAUCUGUGAACGUUGUGGAAGGGGUUUCAAAGCAGCAUGCCAUGUUCAGAUUCAUGUACAAAGAUUUCACACAGGGGAGUGUCCAUACCCCUGCACCCUGUGCACAAAACAUUGUCAUUCUCAGGGAAAAUAAAAUACAUGUUAAUUCACACGGGUGAGAAACCUCACCAGUGGUCCAAGUGUGGGAAGAGAUUUUCUUUAAAGGAAACUCUGAAAACGCAUCUUAAAAGGCAUGGAUUUUAAGACAUUCCAGACAGAUCAUAUUAGUUAUGCAUAAAGUCUGGUAGAUGGUAUUACUUCUUUCCCCCCAGGUCCGGCGUUAUGGGCCGGCCUUAAGGGCCUGGCCCGGCCUACCGUAACCUUCUUUCCCGUACAAAUAAAAUACAGAAAUAUUAAUAAUUUAUUUUACCGAGAC
This is a long non-coding RNA of Salvelinus sp. IW2-2015, 1734 nucleotides long. RefSeq lists it as uncharacterized. The transcript has 4 exons. The record is from RefSeq and is a predicted model, not a curated record. NCBI's taxonomy places the organism in Eukaryota, Metazoa, Chordata, Actinopteri, Salmoniformes, Salmonidae.